AUUGAACGCUGGCGGCAGGCCUAACACAUGCAAGUCGAGCGGAGCGGCGGACGGGUGCGUAAUGCCUAGGAAUCUGCAUGGGAGUGGGGGAUAACGUCCGGAAACGGGCGCUAAUACCGCAUAAUAUCAGAUGAGCCUAGGUCGGAUUAGCUAGUUGGAUGGGGAAAGGCGUACCAAGGCGACGAUCCGUAACUGGUCUGAGAGGAUGAUCAGUCACACUGGAACUGAGACACGGUCCAGGCUCCUACGGGACGCAGCAGUGGAGAAUAUUGGACAAUGGGCGAAAUCCUAGUCCAGCCAUGCCGCGUGUGUGAAGAAGGUCUUCGGAUUUUGAAGCACUUUAAGUUGGGAGGCGUUACCAACAGAAUAAGCACCGGCUAACUUCGUGCCAGCAGCCGCGGUAAUUC
This 407-nucleotide ribosomal RNA is filed under the name uncultured bacterium. RNAcentral describes it as "partial 16S ribosomal RNA". It matches the Rfam family "Bacterial small subunit ribosomal RNA", at positions 30 to 526 of the family's 1533-position model. The record is from RNAcentral.